AGAGUUUGAUCAUGGCUCAGGACGAACGCUGGCGGCGUGCUUAACACAUGCAAGUCGAACGGAAAGGCCCUGCUUUUGUGGGGUGCUCGAGUGGCGAACGGGUGAGUAACACGUGAGUAACCUGCCCUUGACUUUGGGAUAACUUCAGGAAACUGGGGCUAAUACCGGAUAGGAGCUCCUGCUGCAUGGUGGGGGUUGGAAAGUUUCGGCGGUUGGGGAUGGACUCGCGGCUUAUCAGCUUGUUGGUGGGGUAGUGGCUUACCAAGGCUUUGACGGGUAGCCGGCCUGAGAGGGUGACCGGCCACAUUGGGACUGAGAUACGGCCCAGACUCCUACGGGAGGCAGCAGUGGGGAAUAUUGCACAAUGGSCAUGGNRARCCUGAUGCARCAACGCCGCGUGCGGGAUGACGGCCUUCGGGUUGUAAACCGCUUUCGCCUGUGACGAAGCGUGAGUGACGGUAAUGGGUAAAGAAGCACCGGCUAACUACGUGCCAGCAGCCGCGGUGAUACGUAGGGUGCGAGCGUUGUCCGGAUUUAUUGGGCGUAAAGGGCUCGUAGGUGGUUGAUCGCGUCGGAAGUGUAAUCUUGGGGCUUAACCCUGAGCGUGCUUUCGAUACGGGUUGACUUGAGGAAGGUAGGGGAGAAUGGAAUUCCUGGUGGAGCGGUGGAAUGCGCAGAUAUCAGGAGGAACACCAGUGGCGAAGGCGGUUCUCUGGGCCUUUCCUGACGCUGAGGAGCGAAAGCGUGGGGAGCGAACAGGCUUAGAUACCCUGGUAGUCCACGCUGUAAACGGUGGGUACUAGGUGUGGGGUCCAUUCCACGGGUUCCGUGCCGUAGCUAACGCUUUAAGUACCCCGCCUGGGGAGUACGGCCGCAAGGCUAAAACUCAAAGGAAUUGACGGGGCCCCCGCACAAGCGGCGGAGCAUGCGGAWUAAUUCGAUGCAACGCGUAGAACCUUACCUGGGUUUGACAUGGAUCGGGAGUGCUCAGAGAUGGGUGUGCCUCUUUUGGGGUCGGUUCACAGGUGGUGCAUGGCUGUCGUCAGCUCGUGUCGUGAGAUGUUGGGUUAAGUCCCGCAACGAGCGCAACCCUUGUUCACUGUUGCCAGCACGUUAUGGUGGGGACUCAGUGGAGACCGCCGGGGUCAACUCGGAGGAAGGUGGGGAUGACGUCAAGUCAUCAUGCCCCUUAUGUCCAGGGCUUCACGCAUGCUACAAUGGCUGGUACAGAGAGUGGCGAGCCUGUGAGGGUGAGCGAAUCUCGGAAAGCCGGUCUCAGUUCGGAUUGGGGUCUGCAACUCGACCUCAUGAAGUCGGAGUCGCUAGUAAUCGCAGAUCAGCAACGCUGCGGUGAAUACGUUCCCGGGGCUUGUACACACCGCCCGUCAAGUCAUGAAAGUUGGUAACACCCGAAGCCGGUGGCCUAACCGUUGUGGGGGAGCCGUCGAAGGUGGGACUGGUGAUUAGGACUAAGUCGUAACAAGGUAGCCGUA
This 1493-nucleotide ribosomal RNA is filed under the name uncultured bacterium. RNAcentral's name for it is "bacterial SSU rRNA". It matches the Rfam family "Bacterial small subunit ribosomal RNA". The record is from RNAcentral.